GCUGGUCGCGGUGGCACGUGCCUGUAAGUCCCAGCUACUUGGGAGGCUGAGGCUGGAGGAUCUCUUAAGUCCAGGAGUUCUGGGCUGUAGUGUGCUAUGCGGAUAGGGUGACCGCACUAAGUUUGGCAACAAUAUGGUAACCUCCCGGGAGAGGGGGACCACCAGGUUGCCUAAGGAGGGGUGAACCGGCCCAGGUCGUAAUGGAGCAGGUCAAAACUCCCAUGCUGAUCAGUAGUGGGAUCGCACCUGUGAAUAGCCACUGCACUCCAGCCUGGGCAACAAAGUGAGACCCCGUCUCUA
Callithrix jacchus (white-tufted-ear marmoset) is the source of this 300-nucleotide unclassified non-coding RNA. It matches the Rfam family "Metazoan signal recognition particle RNA". From Rfam's summary of the family: The signal recognition particle (SRP) is a universally conserved ribonucleoprotein. It is involved in the co-translational targeting of proteins to membranes. The record is from Ensembl. Lineage: Eukaryota; Metazoa; Chordata; Mammalia; Primates; Cebidae.